Molecule: long non-coding RNA, 608 nt
Filed under: Mytilus galloprovincialis (Mediterranean mussel)
Lineage: Eukaryota; Metazoa; Mollusca; Bivalvia; Mytilida; Mytilidae
Source: RNAcentral
UAAGAGAGUAAUAGUUAACUUGGUACCAUUGCUACACUCUGGUUUACCUUAAUUGUUUUUGUGAUCAGAGAAAAGUUUUAAAGAUAAUGGGGGUUGAGUGCUUCUCAUUCUUAUUUUGUGAUGUUAAACCACUGUCCUAAGUUAUAUAGGGGGCAGUUAAGUACAAAUAAACUUAUUUUAGAGUAUGCUGGUCAUACAAACAUAACAAACAAAACUUCAUUCUCAAUUACUUGUGUGUUGUCUACCUUGACUUCAUUCUCAAUUACUUGUGUAUUAUCUCCCUUGACUUCAUUAUCAAUUACUUGUGUGUUGCUUCCCUUGACUUCAUUAUCAAUUACUUGUGUAUUAUCUCCCUUGACUUCAUUAUCAAUUACUUGUGUGUUGUCUCCCUUGACUUCAUUAUCAAUUACUUGUGUUUUGUCUCCCUUGACUUCAUUAUCAAUUACUUGUGUAUUAUCUCCCUUGUUUUAUUUUAUUAAAAUGACAUACACCUACAUUAAAUGUAAAGGUAUGAUUUCAUAUAAUUUAUUAUAAUUAUAAUGAGGGAAGAUAUUCUGCUGAAUUCUGGUUCUGCUAUGAGGAGGAGAAAUAAAUUAUUUAAAUACUCG